Molecule: small RNA, 42 nt
Filed under: Arabidopsis thaliana (thale cress)
Lineage: Eukaryota; Viridiplantae; Streptophyta; Magnoliopsida; Brassicales; Brassicaceae
Description: ATSL071750
Source: RNAcentral
AAAAAAAAACCAAAAAAAAUGAAGAGAGAAGAAUCCAGCUGU